RNAcentral lists this ribosomal RNA (790 nucleotides) under uncultured Ascomycota. RNAcentral's name for it is "LSU rRNA". It matches the Rfam family "Eukaryotic large subunit ribosomal RNA", at positions 399 to 1211 of the family's 3401-position model. Lineage: Eukaryota; Fungi; Ascomycota. The record is from RNAcentral.
GUGAAAUUGUUGAAAGGGAAGCGCUUGCAACCAGACCUGCCUGCAGUUGCUCAUCCGGGCUUUUGCCCGGUGCACUCUUCUGCUGUCAGGCCAGCAUCGGUUCGGGCGGUCGGAUAAAGGCUUCGGGAAUGUAGCUCCUCUCGAGGAGUGUUAUAGCCCGUUGCGAAAUGCGGCCAGCCUGAACUGAGGUCCGCGCUUCGGCUAGGAUGCUGGCGUAAUGGUUGUAAGCGGCCCGUCUUGAAACACGGACCAAGGAGUCUAACAUCUGUGCGAGUGUUUGGGUGUCAAACCCGUACGCGUAAUGAAAGUGAACGGAGGCGGGAACCCCUCGGGGUGCACCGUCGACCGAUCCUGAUGUCUUCGGAUGGAUUUGAGUAAGAGCAUAGCUGUUGGGACCCGAAAGAUGGUGAACUAUGCCUGAAUAGGGUGAAGCCAGAGGAAACUCUGGUGGAGGCUCGCAGCGGUUCUGACGUGCAAAUCGAUCGUCAAAUUUGGGCAUAGGGGCGAAAGACUAAUCGAACUAUCUAGUAGCUGGUUCCUGCCGAAGUUUCCCUCAGGAUAGCAGUAACGUUUUCAGUUUUAUGAGGUAAAGCGAAUGAUUAGAGGCCUGGGGGUUGAAACAACCUUCACCUAUUCUCAAACUUUAAAUAUGUAAGAAGUCCUUGUUGCUUAGUUGAACGUGGACAUUUGAAUGUAUCGUUACUAGUGGGCCAUUUUUGGUAAGCAGAACUGGCGAUGCGGGAUGAACCGAACGCGGAGUUAAGGUGCCGGAAUGCACGCUCAUCAGACA